Molecule: ribosomal RNA, 511 nt
Filed under: uncultured bacterium
Lineage: Bacteria
Description: bacterial SSU rRNA
Rfam family: Bacterial small subunit ribosomal RNA
Source: RNAcentral
CUUACUGCAGUCGACGGUAACAGGUCUUCGGGUGCUGACGAGUGGCGAACGGGUGAGUAAUACAUCGGAACGUGCCCAGACGUGGGGGAUAACGAGGCGAAGGCUUUGCUAAUACCGCAUACGAUCUAAGGAUGAAAGCAGGGGACCGCAAGGCCUUGCGCGUUUGGAGCGGCCGAUGGCAGAUUAGGUAGUUGGUGGGAUAAAAGCUUACCAAGCCGACGAUCUGUAGCUGGUCUGAGAGGACGACCAGCCACACUGGGACUGAAACACGGCCCAGACUCCUACGGGAGGCAGCAGUGGGGAAUUUUGGACAAUGGGCGAAAGCCUGAUCCAGCAAUGCCGCGUGCAUGAUGACGGCCUUCGGGUUGUAAACUGCUUUUGUACGGAAAGAAUAGGCUCUGGAUAAUAUGUGGUGCACUUGACGGUACCUUACCAAUAAGCCCUGGCUAACUACGUGCCAGCAGCCGCGGUAAUACGUAGGGUGCGAGCGUUAUCCGGAUUUAUUGGGCGU